This 74-nucleotide transfer RNA is filed under the name Scleropages formosus (Asian bonytongue). It matches the Rfam family "tRNA". From Rfam's summary of the family: Transfer RNA (tRNA) molecules are approximately 80 nucleotides in length. Lineage: Eukaryota; Metazoa; Chordata; Actinopteri; Osteoglossiformes; Osteoglossidae. The record is from Rfam by way of RNAcentral.
GUUAAAAAAGGCUCAGUUGGGAUAGCAUUGAACUGAAGAUAUAAAGGUCCCUGGUUCAUUUCCAGGUUUUGGCA